This 301-nucleotide ribosomal RNA is filed under the name uncultured bacterium. RNAcentral's name for it is "partial 16S ribosomal RNA". It matches the Rfam family "Bacterial small subunit ribosomal RNA", at positions 509 to 807 of the family's 1533-position model. The record is from RNAcentral.
CAGCAGCCGCGGUAAUACGUAGGUGGCAAGCGUUAUCCGGAAUUAUUGGGCGUAAAGCGCGCGCAGGCGGUUUCUUAAGUCUGAUGUGAAAGCCCACGGCUCAACCGUGGAGGGUCAUUGGAAACUGGGGAACUUGAGUGCAGAAGAGAAAAGCGGAAUUCCACGUGUAGCGGUGAAAUGCGUAGAGAUGUGGAGGAACACCAGUGGCGAAGGCGGCUUUUUGGUCUGUAACUGACGCUGAGGCGCGAAAGCGUGGGGAGCAAACAGGAUUAGAUACCCCUGUAGUCCCUGUCUCUUAUAC